GUUGUGUUAAUCACAUCAGGGAUGUAAGUCCUUAGGUGACGGCCAAGCAGAAAACGAGGUAAUAAUUCUCUCUGCAAGGGAGAAGGUAUAGCCCCCCCCCCUCCCCAAGAGGGGCCAACAUGUAAGAGUUUGUGGAAUGUUCUUUGUCUCUGUCUCUGUGUAUAAGAUGUAAGGGCGGUGGCCACAAUUCAGAGAUGGUCCUAGUGUUUCACUGGGAUGCUCUCUCCUGGACAAGCUGGAGGAGUUGGUUGGUGAGAGGGAGGUCUGGGGUUCUCUCUUUAGGCUGCUGCCCCUGCCAGCCACCGAUAAGUGGAAGAAGAUGGAUGGAUUGAUGCAAAACUGUUCACGAAGUGAAAGAUAUCGAGCUACAUUCCAAGUCAUACUAAACUUUUUUUUUAUCCCUUUUGAAGGCAAUUUGAUCCAUAGUGUAGUGAUUUAUAUGUUUAACUGUCAAGCAAACAAUCCCUGGUUCAAGCUUGAGAGAAAACGUAAAUCCUUUGAGGGUUAUGUCAUGAAGGGUGUCUAGUGUAAAAAUCUGCCGAAUCAACUCUAUAAUGAAUGAUUAAUGUGGGUAAUGUAGUUAAGAGUAGCUUUUUUUUUUUUUUUCUUUCAAAAUUUCUAGACUACACCUAAUACCACUAGGUAGCAAUAAUGUACCAAUGGGCAAUAGGCCCUGCACUUUGAGUGGUCUGUCCACAGUGUUUCCAAAUGGGACCCAAAGGGACAAGUUCGGAAGACAGACAGACAUGUCUGUCUUCAUGCAUGUGCUAAUAUUGGUCAAUUUUGUCAGCAAUUCUUAGCCUUGUUCUGUUUUCUAUAGCAGUGUGUUUGCAACAGAUAAUCCAAUUCAACUAGGCAGGUGUAAUCCCUGCUAGAGAGAAUGUGUGAUUCUCAUACGCUGCAUUACUGGGACUAUUUUUUAACCUUGGUUGUUCUAUUUACUCUUAUAUUAUAAGGGAUAUGGGUUACAGCCAUUCCUCUAACACCAUUUGCAUAUAAUGUUGUUUUUUGCACAGUCAAAGGAGCAUUCAAGAAACAUUUCACUGUGUGUUGUGCUCGUAUGACUAUGCAUGUGAUAAAUAAAGAAUUUUCUGGGAUGCUUAGGACUCAUAUUGCACUGCUGAAAAUAGUUUAUUUUGAUGCAUAUGCUGUUUUUUUUUUUGCAAAUUUGCAUUAUAAUAUUUAUUUUCGUUUUUGCUGCAGUAUAUAAAAAUUGGUGUAUUUCAGAAAUAAUAAUAUGAAGACACUUAAAAUAAAUUUCCUGUGGUGGGAAACUAUUUUG
This is a long non-coding RNA of Astatotilapia calliptera (eastern happy), 1282 nucleotides long. Lineage: Eukaryota; Metazoa; Chordata; Actinopteri; Cichliformes; Cichlidae. The record is from Ensembl.